CACUUUGGGAGGCCAAGGUGGGCAGAUGACAAGGUCAGGAGUUUGAGACCAGCCAAUAUGGUGAAACCCCAUCUCUACUAAAAAUACAAAAUUAGCGUGGCGGUGCCCGUAGUCCCAGCUACUCGGGAGGCUGAGGCAGAAGAAUUGCUUGAACCCGGGAGGCAGAGAUUGCAGUGAGCUGAGAUCACGCCAUUGCACUCCAGCCUGGGCGACGGACCAAGACUCUGUCUCAAAAAGAGAAAAAAAAAAAAAAAUUAGCCAGGCGUUGUGAAGGGUACCUAUAAUCGCAGCUCCUCAGGAGACUGAGGCAGGAGAAUUGCUUGAACCUGGGAGAUGAAGGUUGCAGUGAGCCGAGGUCACGCCACUCCACCACAGCCUCAGUGACAGAGCGAGACUCCAUCUCAAAAUAAUAAUAAUAAUAAUAAAAGAAAUGAUGCUGGAUGCAGUGGCUCAUGCCUGUAAUCUCAACACUUUGGGAGGCCAAGGCAGGAGGAUCACUUGAGCCAGGAGUUUGAGACCAGCCUGGGCAAUGUAGCAGGACCUCAUCUCUACAAAAACAUAUAUAUUUUAAAAAUUAGCCAGGUGUGGUGGUGCACGUCUGUAGUCCCAGCUACUCGGGUGGCUGAGGCAGGAGGAUCACCUCAGCUCAGGAAUUUCAGGCUGCAGUGAGGCGUGAUCACUCCACUAGACUCCAGCCUGGGCAAUAGAGCAAGACCCUGCCUCAAAGUAAAAGAAUAAAAUAUACAAUAAAAAUAAAACAGAGCAAAGAAAAUGUCCCCUGGAGCCAUGUGUGAUCCAUAAGCUUUGUGAAUCCUGACACCUCCUCUCCUUCGAGGUCGUACAAUUGUCUUCCAAAGUUGGAAAAAAAUGUUUAAAGCUGCCCACAUUCAGGAGGGAGGUCCCAGGGGUAUGAGUGCCCUCCCCCAUUUCCUGGGGAUGACAAGGGUUUCCAGCCUCCCUUGUCCUUGGGAGACUGGGGUGUGGGCAGCUCGGUGUGAGGGCCAGUGGUUGAUCUUGAAGUUUCUUUCCUACUCCCUCAUCCCUUUCCUACCCAAGCUGUGGUCCCAGCUGACUCACGUAUUAGAGGCUGCGAGUGAGUUCGGUUGCUAUGGCAACAGGGCUGCGGAGAUCCCCAGGAACCUGCUGGUCCGCCUCAUUGCCUCACCGUAUGGGGAGCUGCUUUUCCCCCUUAAAAAUGAAAUCGGAGUGGGACGGGGAGGAACCCCUUCUUCUGCUCUGGAAGGAAAUGCUUUCCUUACCUGCUCUGUCCCAAACCCCGGUUUGGAGAGGAGGGUCUGGAUGGGACCCGGACUGUGGAAAUGGAUGGAGGGAGGAGAACCCCUGCUCCCUGGUUUUAGCAGCCUUCCCAGGUCCCACAAAACACGAGGAACACGGUCUUUCUCCAGUUCCAACUUUUCUCAUCUGUUCAUUCAUUUUUUCCACAGGAGGCAUGAGGAGGUGAGAGAUGGGAAGAAUGCUGCCUGUCGUUUGGAGUCAGAAGGAAAAGAAGGCAGGAAAUACGCUAUGUGUAAACCAAAAGACAAUAAAGAUCUCCACAUUUCCAGCCCUGAGGAAAACCACUGCUGAUCUUUAGGUGUCUAUCCUUUUUGUCUUUCUUUCUUUUCUUUUCUUUUUUUUUUUUUUUUAUGAGAGGGCUCCGCUCUGCCCAGGCUGGAGUGCAGUGGCAUGAUCUCCGGCCACCACAACCUCCACCUCCCAGGUUCAAGUGAUUCUCCUGCCUCAGCCUCCCGAGUAGCUGGGAUUACAGGCACCUGCCACCAUGCCUGGCUAAUUUUUGCAUUUUUAGUAGAGACAGGGUUUCACCAUGUUUGCCAGGCUAGUCUCGAACUCCCUGACCUCGGGCUAUCCACCUGCCUCAGCCUCCCAAAGUGCUGGAAUUACAUGAGCCACCAUGCCCGCCCUUCUUUGUUUGUUUGUUUGUUUGUUUGUUUGUUUGAGACGGAGUCUCGCUGUGUCAACCAGGCUGGAGUGCAGUGGCUCGAUCUCGGCUCACUGCAAGCUCCGCCUCCCGGUUUACGCCAUUCUCCUGCCUCAGCCUCCGAGUAGCUGGGACUCCAGGCACCCGCCACCACUUCGCUAGUUUUUUUGUAUUUUUAGUAGAGACAGGGUUUCACCAUAUUAGCCAGGAUGGUCUCGAUCUCCUGACCUCGUGAUCCACCCACCUCAGCCUCCCAAAGAGCUGGGAUUACAGGCCUGAGCCACCGCGACCGGCCGCUUUUUUGUUUGUUUGUUUGUUUGUUUGUUUGUUUUGAGACGGAGUCUCCCUCUGUCGCCCAGGCUCGAGUGCAGUGGCGUGAUCUUGGCUCACUGCAACUUCUGCCUCCUGGAUUCACGCAAUUCUCCUACCUCAGCCUCCCGAGUAGCUGGGACUAUAGGCACCUGCCACCACGGCUAAUUUUUGUAUUUUUAUUUUAUUUUUAAAUUUAUUUUAUUCUUUUUUUUUUUUUUUUUGAGAUGGAGUAUCGCUGUGUCUCCCAGACUGGAGUGCAGUGGCGCGAUCUCGGCUCGCUGCAAGCUCCGCCUCCCGGGUUUAGGCCAUUCUCCUGCCUCAGCCUCCCAAGUAGCUGGGACUACA
This 2596-nucleotide long non-coding RNA is filed under the name Macaca fascicularis (crab-eating macaque). Its description in RNAcentral is "lncRNA (ENSMFAG00000059653.1)". The record is from RNAcentral. Lineage: Eukaryota; Metazoa; Chordata; Mammalia; Primates; Cercopithecidae.